This 1023-nucleotide ribosomal RNA is filed under the name Daldinia raimundi. Its description in RNAcentral is "eukaryotic LSU rRNA". It matches the Rfam family "Eukaryotic large subunit ribosomal RNA", at positions 1 to 965 of the family's 3401-position model. Lineage: Eukaryota; Fungi; Ascomycota; Sordariomycetes; Xylariales; Hypoxylaceae. The record is from RNAcentral.
UGGCAUACUCUAAGCGUAGUAUAUUCUUCUCGCUUCUGUAGUUGUCCUGGCGGCUUGCCGUUAAACCCCUAUAUUUUCUAGUGGUUGACCUCGGAUUAGGUAGGAAUACCCGCUGAACUUAAGCAUAUCAAUAAGCGGAGGAAAAGAAACCAACAGGGAUUGCCCUAGUAACGGCGAGUGAAGCGGCAACAGCUCAAAUUUGAAAUCUGGCCCUAGCGGUCCGAGUUGUAAUUUGUAGAGGAUGCUUUUGGUUAGGUGCCUUCUGAGUUCCCUGGAACGGGACGCCAGAGAGGGUGAGAGCCCCGUACGGUUGGACACCGAGCCUCUAUAUAGCUCCUUCGACGAGUCGAGUAGUUUGGGAAUGCUGCUCUAAAUGGGAGGUAAAUUUCUUCUAAAGCUAAAUACCGGCCAGAGACCGAUAGCGCACAAGUAGAGUGAUCGAAAGAUGAAAAGUACUUUGAAAAGAGGGUUAAAUAGCACGUGAAAUUGUUGAAAGGGAAGCGUUUGCGACCAGACUUUUUCCAGGCGGAUCAUCCGGUGUUCUCACCGGUGCACUUCGCCUGGUUUAGGCCAGCAUCGGUUCUCUUAGGGGGAUAAAGGCCUGGGGAACGUAGCUCCUUCGGGAGUGUUAUAGCCCCUUGCGUAAUACCCUUCGGGGGACCGAGGAACGCGCAUCUGCAAGGAUGCUGGCGUAAUGGUCGUCAACGACCCGUCUUGAAACACGGACCAAGGAGUCGAACAUUUGUGCGAGUGUUUGGGUGUUAAACCCUCACGCGUAAUGAAAGUGAACGGAGGUGAGAGCCCUUCGGGGUGCAUCAUCGACCGAUCCUGAUGUCUUCGGAUGGAUUUGAGUAAGAGCAUAACUGUUCGGANCCGAAAGAUGGUGAACUAUGCGUGGAUAGGGUGAAGCCAGAGGAAACUCUGGUGGAGGCUCGCAGCGGUUCUGACGUGCAAAUCGAUCGUCAAAUCUGCGCAUGGGGGCGAAAGACUUAUCGAANCAUCUAGUAGCUGGUUACCGCCGAU